Molecule: ribosomal RNA, 75 nt
Filed under: Aspergillus ustus
Lineage: Eukaryota; Fungi; Ascomycota; Eurotiomycetes; Eurotiales; Aspergillaceae
Also listed under: 1 other name
Description: 5.8S ribosomal RNA
Rfam family: 5.8S ribosomal RNA
About the family: 5.8S ribosomal RNA (5.8S rRNA) is a component of the large subunit of the eukaryotic ribosome.
Source: RNAcentral
UCAGUGAAUCAUCGAGUCUUUGAACGCACAUUGCGCCCCCUGGCAUUCCGGGGGGCAUGCCUGUCCGAGCGUCAU